ACGGAGGGUGCGAGCGUUGUUCGGAAUUACUGGGCGUAAAGCGCACGUAGGCGGCUAUUCAAGUCAGAGGUGAAAGCCCGGGGCUCAACCCCGGAAUUGCCUUUGAAACUAGAUAGCUAGAAUCUGGGAGAGGUGAGUGGAAUUCCGAGUGUAGAGGUGAAAUUCGUAGAUAUUGGGAGGAACACCAGUGGCGAAGGCGGUCCCCUGGGCCGGAACUGACGCUGAGGCGCGAAAGCGUGGGUAGCAAACAGGA
This 253-nucleotide ribosomal RNA is filed under the name uncultured prokaryote. Its description in RNAcentral is "partial 16S ribosomal RNA". It matches the Rfam family "Bacterial small subunit ribosomal RNA", at positions 525 to 777 of the family's 1533-position model. The record is from RNAcentral.